CGGAGUAAGUGCCACCGCUCCGCCUUCUCCUUUUCGCAAUGUUGACGCAAUCUAUAAAUAGUGGAACAAAAGGACCAACUUCCUCGCAGCUUUGCUGAAACUGCACAAAAAAGGCAACGGGGGGGGGGGGGUAUUUUGAUUUUAUUUUCUGCUGGUUAAAGAACAAGCCCCCCCCCGCCCCCGCCCCGCUCCUCUCUCGAUACUGGAAGAUUUUUUUUUCCUCGCUGUCUCCUAUGCUGGCAACGUCCUGCAAGUGGCUAUUUCGCCGUGCGCUGGGAGAAGGGCUCCCCCCCUCUUCUGACAUUUAUGGAUGAAAUCCGUACACUGAUGUCUAACCUGUAAUGAAAGCCGACAUAAAAAUUCAAGUUAAGAAUUCUGAGGAACUGUUUGCGCUGGUGCCUUCGGUCUCUCCAUAAAACCAGGGGGUCUGCGCAGGCUGAGGAGAGCUCACAGGAAAGAAUCCUUCAACAGUCAAAAGUCAAGUGCAGACUAGUGGCUCGAGCUGCGCUGUAAUCUGCCUUUCCUCCGUGGCUUUGAGCAACUCAGAACCUCCAUCUCGAUUUCCCCAUCUGUGAAAUGGGGAUAGAAACACUAACCAAACUAUCAGGUUUUGACCUUUCAAUAGAGAGCUGAUUUUGGAGAACGACUUACUUCUGUGAUUGAAAAACUCUCUCUGGAAGGUUGAUGGAACAUGAGCAUGGUUCUGCCAGCAACUCUGGUGCGAUUUGAAAAUAUGUAAUCUACUGGCAAUGAUGUGCCCAACCUUAAUUGGCGCUGGAGCCUUUGGAAAAGAGAUUGUGUCAUCACACAGAAUAAAAUCCAACAAUAACUGACCUUGAUGAAUCUGUGAAAGAAGAAAACAAAAUUUUUUUACUUCUUAAUUUGCCAAAUGCACAGAAGAAAAAAAAUGGUUUAUGUGAAAUUUAGCCCACUCUGAAGUGGUUAGGUUCUCUGGGGUUGGGGGGAGGUUUCUCUUUUUUUGGGAGAGGGGGUAGAGCUUAGAAAGUUAGCUGAUAAUCAAGGACAGUGAUAGAUGAGGUCUUAACAAUGCAUGUGAACUCUUGAUUUUGAAUAUGUGAAUAUUCAUACCAAAUCUAGCUAAACACUCAAGUGCUUAAACCAUGCAUGCAUGUAAGCUUUUAAGGAACUGAAUCUUUAGCCUUUUGCAGGUAAAACAUUAGCAUUUUCAUGUCAGCAUGGCUCUCCUCUCCCUUUUUCUUCUAGCAGUUUGAUUUUUAGGCCUAAAUCAAAGAGUUAAGGUCUAUUGAUAGAUAAGUUGAUAUCUAAGGCUGUAUUCAAAAUUUUAUUUGUUUGAACAAAGCAAGAACAAAUUUGUAAGUACCAGCAGCAUGCAGGCCACUAUUGCAAUAUUGUUCUGUUCUAUCUUUAAGCAGGUGGUUUCAUGUGGCAGGCUGGAAGAGAGAUUCUUUUUCUUCCCAGCUUUUGACAAAAAGAUGACGCAUAUGACUCAGAAUUAGAAGGGGAAAUCUGCCAGUUUGCAUCAGUUCCUUAACUUGUGGGUUGCUAUUCACCAGAAGGAAAAUCAGUAUUUUCGCACCAAUGCUUCUUGAGAGAUGAGGAGUAAUCAUUUCCUUCAGAAAGUGUAGGAUGAUUGGAGUAGGCCUUUUGUAUGGUAUACUAGGCUUUUUGUAUAAUAAGAUAUUUUUCAACUGUAUUUAAUUUCAGGAGGAAAAAACAAAUAGUGUUCCUAAAAGCUACAUUUGAUGUUUAAAAUAGGAAUCAGACAUCUCUUGCAGCUUAAUGCAGAGUAAAGGCAAAGGAAUCUGCUUUCUUUUGAAAACAUGAAACUUCUAUUUUGAUGGCCCUGAAACUCAAAAACCAUUGUAGGUCUCCACAGUUGAAAGAUAUUUCCUUUGUAGGGGAAUCUCUCAUUGAGAUGAUGAAACUGCUGCAAAAGGAAGGGAAAUUGCAUAGGCUCCUUUUCUUUUAAAAGCAGCAUGCAAGAACUGUGUGGAAGACUGAACAAGCAAGCAAAACGUCUUGCCUCAAGAUAUCACAAGGCACCUGCCCUCCAGUUCCAGUUUUCCUGAGCAGAAACACUGAGAAAGACCAUAACUCUCUUGCUGUUCCCACUUCUUGGCUAAGACCAUCAGGAAGCCUCCUAACAUGGAUAGACUCUGAUUAGCAGGUGACAAGGAGCAAAACAGAUCCUGAUAUUCUCCUUGUACGUAAAUUCUUCUGAAGUAAAGCAUAGCUCAAAUCUAGGAAUGCUAGGCUGUUCUGAGGCAAACUUGGAAUUACUUUGGGUAUUUCAUGCAUUCCCUGCAUCCCUCAAUAGCCAUAAUGCUAGAGCAGAAAUCACCAGUGACAGUGACACUAGGAAUUAAUUUUGAUGAAAUUGAAUCACGGGACCUUUGGAUCCUUCAGCUGAAAGCAGAGUAAACCAACACUCCAUUAUCAAAUCAUGAUCAAAAUUACACUUUAUAAGCCUCCAUGAAGGUCCAGCCUUCAGUACUGCUUCAACGUUUCUCUACUUUGCUGGUCAUUUUCUGUAGUUUCUAUUGGAGAUCAUUUUCCGUAAGUUUCCACCAUCCUGCAGCACUAGCUCCAUGAAGGAUAUUCCUGUGCCCAGUCAAAAUCAGAAGACAGAGAGGUUCUUUCAUAAGGUUCUCUCUGGCUGGACUUCCUACACUAGGCAGAGACUUCAGGUGUUGUUCACGCUAUCUUAAUUUACAGAGAUAGGGACUGACUGCAUUUCUCAGCAUCUCUAUAUUCUCAUUAACUUUUCAUAAAUGACAGGGGUCCUUGAGGUGUUUUCUAACUAGGUGCCAUCCAGAUCUCCAACCUCAGCCCAUCAAAGAGAAAGCCUGUUGUUGCUGUAGCACCAGAUGUCAUAGUACAGUCUAUGUGCACGUUUCAUCCUCCUUCUCUCACCAGAUGGUAGUUCCUAAUUCAUUAUCACCUUCCUCUGAUGAGUACAAAGCCUUAAAAGUUCUAAUUGGCAGAAUAGUUUUACCAAAUACCAAAAACAUCACUAAAUGCAAUCGGAUUAGACUAUAGUCUCACAACAGGGUUCUCUGGCAGGAAAGCUGCCUCCAACAACAGCAAAAAUGGACACCUAGAGAAAAAAAAGUUUGAUCUCUACUGGAGAAGGAGCUAUCCCUCUGUAAAUGAGGGUCCCAGACUGCCUACAAACCAUACCGUCUAAAAAGGGUGUUUAUAAUUAAUAUUUGUAAAUACUAAUUUAAAGUGAUAAGAUUGCCAUAGACAUCUAGAGAGUAAUUUAGAUAUGAUGCAGUAGAGACCAUUUAUAGCAAUAAUAACAUUUCUGGCAAAAAAUGUCCAUGAAGACAACAUCUUUUAGGUUACUUUUAAGUACAAGCAGCUACUAAAUACUUUGUGAUCUGCUUAAUAUAGAUAAGGUUCUGCAAUACUGUUGUUAGGUCUCUGAGAGAGUAAAGACCUGUUCCCAAGCACAGGUGUCACAAAGCACUGACUUUCCAACUGUACAGACCUACAGGCCCUCCAACAAAGCAACUAAAGAGUUAGAGAGAAAAAAGUCUUUCCUUGUGUGAGGCAGUUCACCUGCUUCUUUAAUCAACAUGGCAGCAUCAGACAUCACACCUGCAUAUCCUAUUUUAGUCACUCAUUUACUCCAUUCUAUUCCAGGGUAUUUUAAUGGGAGUGUGUUAGAUCAUUAGGGACAUUCUUUGCUUAGGGGAAAGAGAUCCCACUUACUCUUUUAAAAAAGGAAGGAAAAAAGGGUUGAGUUAAUGCCUCAGUUCCCAUACGGUAUUUGCUUUGGCUUGUCCCGGUUCUGAGAUGUGAAUACAUACAUCUGAAAGAUCGGAUAUAAAGUAAUAUUUCCAGCUAGCAGUUUUUCGUCACCAGAUUAAAAUGCCAUGCUCCGAGCUUUCAAAAUGGGCAUUUCCCCAUUGUUAUCCACCCAGCCCAAAGAAGCUAUGUGAUCUUUGUAGUGGGAGUCAUUGCCUCCAGUAGGAGAUCUGCUUGCUUGUCAUCACUUAUUUCAGAAAAACAGAAAUCCACAUCUUCAUAUCCUGAAUGCUCUGGAUGUGAACUCCUGCAACCUGUCAUCGGAUCCUUCAUUCAUGGCUACAUCUUGGUGCUGUGAGUAAACAAGAAGUCAACAGUGAUCCCUCCACACAAAACAGAGUAUCGAAACCAUAGCAGACUGCUGCUGCAAUAGCUUAUCUUGUAUGACUUCAUGAAUGUUCAGUUUCAAGCUCAAGCUUACCUUAGAAGUUGAGUGAGAGCAUGCAUCAGGCUUUGAGUAGCUAAGCAUUACAGAUUGCUACAGCACAGCUUCUUAGGCAAGCUAGAGCCAAAAGAGCAGCUACACAAGUGUUCCUGUGCUUGUUCGUGCGUUUGCCAGAAAAGGUUUUCCAUAGAAUCUCUGAAAUAGUAGGUGAGUCUUAUCUUUUGCCCAUCCUUUUCCACAUGCAUCCAUAAGGAUUUGGGGACUCCACUUGAACACUAGUGAACUCUGGAUUGCACCAUCAUACUUCACUGGUCAAAGAAAUCUCUUCUUGAAUAAUGACAGACAACACUGUUUGGGAUGAAAGUUCUGCUUUGCCUAAACAAAGGUGGGAGAAGGAUCUCAGUUAUGCCAAGGGCCAUGCAGUUACAAGUUUUCAUUUAGGCUCUUGACAACAUUGCCGUAAUAGUCAUUAGGCCAUUAAUGUGUUCCAGGGAUCCGCAUUAUACUGGGCCAUCUUCAGAAGAUAAUGUUUUGAGCGAUCAUAGGUACCAAAGGAAAAUUAUAUGGCUUAAGAACCUGUUUGCAAACAUGGAAAACAGAUAAUCUGCUGAUUAUCUGAACAGAAAACAUUCUGCUCCAGGAGAAGAUGCCUUUCUGGUUUAUGGAAACCUAGGUUUACUGCCCUCAGUACUGCAACUUGAAUUAAAGCAAAACAAAGGCGAUGAACAGGAAGCAUCCAGUUUAACAGUGGCGUGUAACCUAAGCACUGCCAAAGUAAUGCUGGCAUUUGGAUCAUCAAAGUUUGUCUGUUCAGCCACCAAAAGCUUGGCUUCUAUUUCCAGAUGUCACGUAUCAAAAUGAUCAAUCCAUCCAACAACUGGAUCCUUCAGUGUUUCACUUCCUAGUGCUGAUGCGAGACUGACUUCUGAGAGAGAAAUUUGGUUCUUCAGAUAUGCACAAUAUACACAAUAUAAGAUGCUCCAUAUAUUUGCUUACCUAGCCAAACUGGAAAAAAAAAAAUGUCCCUGUGGCCUCAUGAAAAUCUAAAUCUCUCAUCUAAGUCAUUCUGUGCCUUUUCCAAGUUCCUUUAGUAGCUAUCACCCACCCAUUCAUUUACUCGUAUAAGAUUUUCUGCUUUUCCUUAUCUGGUGUUGAAAUUUCUGACAGCUCUGUUAACUGCCUUCCCUUCGAUACAAUAAGUUGUGUCUGUUUGGUUCCACAAAGACCGUGACUCCAGCCGAGUUCUGUCCCUUGACUCCCUUUCUCUUUCCCUACUGGGAAAAAAAGGGAGUUUGCUUUCAUCUGUGGAUCCCUGUACUUCUUUAAAGAGAAGCAGAGCCUGCACUCCACCAGUGACCAGACCUAGGAGCAAGCUGAAGUAGUAAAAAAGUGCACAGAUUAGAGGAAAGAAGGAUCAGCAUGAGCUCUAGUUAUUGUUCAAUACAACACUGUGAAAGAAAUGAAAUGUCAAUAAUUGUUUUAUUACCUAUUUGCUAUCACGGUAAUAAAUAAAGAAAUAAAUAAAUAGCAUAGAGCAGCCAUUUCAAAAAGGCCUCAAUGAAAACUAAAAUCUCCCUUUGAAAUUUAAAGAAAAUUGAGUUCCUAACUUUGAAGUCAUUGGAAAAUCCUAGGCUUGAUGUUUCCAAUCUGUUGUCUUUUUUUUCCAGCAUAGAAUCAGGAUGGAACAAUGUUGCAACGUUUAAUUCUUAACAGUUUCAGCAAGGGUUCAAAUGACCGUUGUAGCAGAAAUUUGCUUAGAAAGCAAAGCACUACAUUCAUUCUCUGAAGCGGAUUUGUACACACUGCUGUUUCCAACCUUUAGGGCUGCAUUUAUCAUCCUUCCAACCAGAAAGAAGCCACCAGUUAUUGAACCAUUGCAUUGUAGAUGUGUAGAAAUGGAGUAAGAAAUUCAUGGAGAAAUUUACACAUCAGAUCACACUUAUAGAUAAAACUUCAGGGAGAUAUUUUUGCAGAAACUACACUACAGUCUAGAAAAUUGACAUGCCUUUUUCUUUUUUUAAUAGAAGUCAAAUUUAUUUGUAUUUUAUGUGAUGACUAGUGAUGUGCAUCCCACCCAUUCAUUUGAGAAUAUUCUGGGCUCCAGGCAUAUCUCCAGCCAGUUCCAGACUAUUCAGAUCAUUGUUGGUCCAUCCAAUGCUAGUCACAACAAGGCAUUCUGUGACUAAUUACGGCCUGACUGCAACAGGAGAUGCAGCUUCAAAGACUGAGAGUCUUCAGAUGCGCUAGCAGUUCCCUUGGUUCCCAGUUCUUUAUUUAUGUGGAUUACAUUGAGCUGACAGAUUUAACUGGGCUGUUGAAGAUAUGGUCAAAGAAGUGGAGUCACUCCCUCCCCUUUUAUUGUUUUCUGAAGACAUAAUAGUCAUAUGCAUCUGUCACUAGAGAGAGGAAGUUCUCCAUCACUGGACUUGAUUUGGUCUUUUAUAUGCUGUUUCAGUAGCAUCUGGGAAUAGAUCAAUAUAAUAUUUGGUAGGGAGUUGUAUUUCCUCGUGAUGCACUGUAAAUCUUUUAUUGUAGAUACUCCCACUGAUUAUUGUUGAAAAUCAAUAAAAAUAAACCUUGUAAAGUUAAAGCCUGGCAAUGGUUCAGCACAAAUCAUAGGGAAAGAAUAAGAGGCAAUGAGUCUCCCUUCCCCUCUUGGAUAGUUCCCAGCUUGUUUCCCAAUGAAUAUUCAAUAACACUUUCCAGCAAUCUGGGAAUACAUUUUUUUUUUGAAUUAUUCAAAGUUAUGAACACUUUUUUGUGAUCUCAGAUGGGAUUUCUAAUCCACUUUGGCUGCUUUAUGAUACUGGAUUCAGCUAUGGAUCAAGACUGAAUAUCACCCAGCCUGUGUGUUGCAUACACCUUAGACUUAUCCCCUUCAGAGACAGGCAAAAGUACAUCAGCCUUGCGCAUCUCAGCUUAAGUGAGUUAUUUUUGAGCAUUGCAACAAUGUUCAAAAAAAUAACCAAAUAGGACACUAACCAAAGUAGGUUAAAAAAAAAAAAAAAGAAAAAGUGGUGGUGGCAGGGGGCGGAACAGCCUAAUGUGAAGAAAAAUUCCUCCAGUUAAAACAGAAGUUACUACCCCUAUUUGCAAGCACACAGAAGCAGGGCAGAAUGCAAUUACCACAGAAUAAUUCUUUUGCCCAUAACUAUUAAUUCCUCAUAUACUGCAUCUUAGGCUGGAGUCCUCUACUAUUUUUGUGAGAUUCAACUAAGCAGGGAAAUGAAAAAUGUUUUGGAAUUGUAUAACCAAGGAGAAAACUUUCCAGUACAAAGACCACAGCUAAAAGAUCAGUCUUUUUCAGUCUAACCACUAUAUCAGUCAAAAUAGGUUUAUUUAAACAACUAUUCUUAAUUAAUUAUACAAUCUUAUGAGCAUUGACUGCUGAACAUACAAGGCUUUCCUAAAAGAAUGAAAUUCUUUUCAUGCUUUUCCUAGAAGGAUGAAAACUCUCAAGAAUAAUCAUUUAGAAAGCAGGAUCCAAAGAUUUUCCACUGCUGGGCAAGGGGACAAAGAAAAGGAAGGUGGUUCACAUUGGACUCUCUCCUUCCUGCCAUCAGCAGAUUACUGAAAAAUUCAGGUGGGAGAUAAAGCAUGUGUCCCUGGAAGAGGUGACAAGAACUAAAUAGAACUUCCCAGUUUGCGAAGAAGCAGACAAAAAGCUAUUUAAAAGCACAAAAAUGUAAUCAAUCACUACCAAAGGUAAGUCAACACAGUGCAAGAGCAGGGGGUUGAAAAAAAAUGAAAACACUACCUUGUUGGGCAGAGGCAUCAUAAGGCUUUAUUGAGGAAGCCCCUUGAAUAAAGAAUGCAAGAUGAAAUCCAACUAUAAAGAAAAAUGAUUAGAAUAAAAAUGGAGAU
Molecule: long non-coding RNA, 8044 nt
Organism: Dromaius novaehollandiae (emu)
Lineage: Eukaryota; Metazoa; Chordata; Aves; Casuariiformes; Dromaiidae
Exons: 7
Source: RefSeq, a predicted model, not a curated record